RNAcentral lists this ribosomal RNA (253 nucleotides) under uncultured bacterium. RNAcentral's name for it is "partial 16S ribosomal RNA". It matches the Rfam family "Bacterial small subunit ribosomal RNA", at positions 524 to 776 of the family's 1533-position model. The record is from RNAcentral.
AACGUAGGACGCAAGCGUUAUCCGGAGUUACUGGGCGUAAAGCGCGGGCAGGCGGCUCGAAACGUCUGAUGUGAAAUCUCCUCGCUCAACGGGGAGAGGCCAUUGGAAACGGUCGAGCUGGAGGGCAGUAGAGGUAGGCGGAAUUCCGGGUGGAGUGGUGAAAUGCGUAGAGAUCAGGAAGAACACCGGUGGCGAAGGCGCUCUGCUAGGCCGCAACUGACACUGAGGGACGAAAGCUAGGGGAGCGAAUGGG